Molecule: long non-coding RNA, 132 nt
Organism: Xenia sp. Carnegie-2017
Lineage: Eukaryota; Metazoa; Cnidaria; Anthozoa; Malacalcyonacea; Xeniidae
Exons: 3
Source: RefSeq, a predicted model, not a curated record
GCAGAGGUAUCAACACAGAGUGCAUUGUUUUGUUUAUUUCUAAUGGUUACUAUGAAGACAAACCGUAGACGUUGUCACAUAUUUUACUUAAAAGUUACACGAAGGUUUCCAUGUUCGCCAUUUGCGUUUCUA